This 464-nucleotide ribosomal RNA is filed under the name uncultured bacterium. Its description in RNAcentral is "partial 16S ribosomal RNA". It matches the Rfam family "Bacterial small subunit ribosomal RNA", at positions 28 to 507 of the family's 1533-position model. The record is from RNAcentral.
GACGAACGCUGGCGGCGUGCUUAACACAUGCAAGUCGAACGGAAAGGCCCUGCUUGCAGGGUACUCGAGUGGCGAACGGGUGAGUAACACGUGGGUGAUCUGCCCUGCACUUCGGGAUAAGCCUGGGAAACUGGGUCUAAUACCGGAUAGGAGCCAUUUUUAGUGUGAUGGUUGGAAAGUUUUUUCGGUGUAGGAUGAUCUCGCGGCCUAUCAGCUUGUUGGUGGGGUAAUGGCCUACCAAGGCGGCGACGGGUAGCCGGCAUGAGAGGGUGGACGGCCACAUUGGGACUGAGAUACGGCCCAGACUCCUACGGGAGGCAGCAGUGGGGAAUAUUGCACAAUGGGAGAAAGCCUGAUGCAGCGACGCCGCGUGGGGGAUGACGGCCUUCGGGUUGUAAACUCCGUUCGCUAGGGACGAAGCUUUUGUGACGGUACCUAGAUAAGAAGCACAGGCUAACUACGUG